GGGGGAGCAUUUUCUGCUGCACUACCAGAACUAGACAGGUAGCUGACUGGCCAGGGAAGUGGCAGAGCACUAUGAGAAAAGAGCGUGCAGAAAGAAUCUGUGGCUCACAUACUACCCUCUUCUUAAGAUGAAGACCACAGCCAAAUGAGACCUGGACUGUACUGAAGGGGGUUGUGGGGGAGGGGGUGUCAGGCUCCCUAAAGAUUAGGAUCUUUCAUCCCAGGACUGAAGAGUGGGCCUUCUCAGCAGGCCUUCUUCCCCACCCGGAGUGUGCAGAGGGUGUUAAGUCAGCAGAGGCAGAGAAAAGCCAGUUCCUCCAGGAGGUGAAAGCUGCCCAAGUCUGACCAAGGGUGGGAAGAGGACUGGCCUAGCCCCACAGUAUCACCGAGAGGCUGUUUGUCUGCUCUGAACUGGGAGGACCCAGGUAACGAGAUACAACAUGAAGGGUACAAACACCAGAGUCAAACAGACCUGGCCUGUGACUGGGACCUACCAUUUCCUAGCCAUGUCCCUUUGGGAGGUCCCGCCUGAGCU
Chinchilla lanigera (long-tailed chinchilla) is the source of this 534-nucleotide long non-coding RNA. RefSeq lists it as uncharacterized. The record is from RefSeq and is a predicted model, not a curated record. The transcript is spliced from 3 exons. Lineage: Eukaryota; Metazoa; Chordata; Mammalia; Rodentia; Chinchillidae.